CGGAUGGCUGGCGGCCAAUAGUUAGAUGCCGGGUAACGGGCCCACCAUGGCGACGAUGCUCAGGGUUUCUGAGAGGAAGGUCCCCCACAUGGAANUGAGACACGUCCCAGACUCNUACGGGAGGCAGCAGUGAGGGAUAUUGGACAAUGGUCGGAAGUCUGAUCCAGCCAUGCCGCGUGCGGGAAGACGGCCAUAUGGGUUGUAGACCGCUUUUGCGGGGGAGCAAUAAGAGUCACGAGUGGCUCGAUGAGAGUACCCUGCGAAUAAGCAUCGGCUAACUCCGUGCCAGCAGCCGCGGUAAUACGGAGGAUGCGAGCGUUAUCCGGAUUUAUUGGGUUUAAAGGGUGCGCAGGCGGCUUGUUAAGCGGGAGGUGAAAUGCCGGCGCUCAACGUCGGAAGUGCCUCCCGAACUGGUGAGCUUGAAUGACUCUGCCGUGGGAGGAAUGUGUAGUGUAGCGGUGAAAUGCUUAGAGAUUACACAGAACACCGAUUGCGAAGGCAUCUCACGAAGGGUUGAUUGACGCUGAGGCACGAAAGCGUGGGGAUCAAACA
This 552-nucleotide ribosomal RNA is filed under the name uncultured bacterium. Its description in RNAcentral is "bacterial SSU rRNA". It matches the Rfam family "Bacterial small subunit ribosomal RNA", at positions 222 to 774 of the family's 1533-position model. The record is from RNAcentral.